Long non-coding RNA from Dermacentor silvarum, 264 nucleotides. RefSeq lists it as uncharacterized. Lineage: Eukaryota; Metazoa; Arthropoda; Arachnida; Ixodida; Ixodidae. The record is from RefSeq and is a predicted model, not a curated record. The transcript is spliced from 2 exons.
GACUCAAAGAUCAGGCGCAAAUCCGCAAGCUUCUGGCGGGCCAGGCCCUGUACUGCAAUCGUGCAACCAAACGUGCACGUUUAGAAAUGGCCUCGGAAGUGGCUGUCAAGAACCCUGCAGGUGUAGCUCCGAAGAACACGGCCUUACUACACCUGCAAAUUUCAGUGGUCCGGGAACUUGCGUGAAAUCUUUUUAGUCAUAGGGGCCGUAUCGUGCUGGGCUUCGCGAUGACAAAUGCAAGAAAAAUAAAAGUCUCAUUUGGAA